This 253-nucleotide ribosomal RNA is filed under the name uncultured bacterium. RNAcentral's name for it is "partial 16S ribosomal RNA". It matches the Rfam family "Bacterial small subunit ribosomal RNA", at positions 524 to 776 of the family's 1533-position model. The record is from RNAcentral.
UACAGAGGGGGCAAGCGUUAUUCGGAAUUACUGGGCGUAAAGGGCGCGUAGGCGGCCGCCUAAGUCAGACGUGAAAUCCCUCGGCUCAACCGGGGAACUGCGUCUGAUACUGGGUGGCUUGAAUCCGGGAGAGGGAUGCGGAAUUCCAGGUGUAGCGGUGAAAUGCGUAGAUAUCUGGAGGAACACCGGUGGCGAAGGCGGCAUCCUGGACCGGUAUUGACGCUGAGGCGCGAAAGCCAGGGGAGCAAACGGG